CUACGUGCCAGCAGCCGCGGUAAUACGGAAGGUCCGGGCGUUAUCCGGAUUUAUUGGGUUUAAAGGGAGUGUAGGCGGUCUGUUAAGCGUGUUGUGAAAUUUAGGUGCUCAACAUUUAACUUGCAGCGCGAACUGUCAGACUUGAGUACACGCAGCGCAGGCGGAAUUCAUGGUGUAGCGGUGAAAUGCUUAGAUAUCCUGAAGAACUCCGAUCGCGAAGGCAGCCAUCCGGAGCGUAACUGACGCUGAGGCUCGAAGGUGCGGGUAUCGAACAGGAUUAGAUACCCUGGUAGUCCGCACGGUAAACGAUGAAUACUCGCAGUUCGGCCGUUUAGGUCGAGUUGUCCAGCGAAAGCGUUAAGUAUUCCACCUGGGGAGUACGCCGGCAACGGUGAAACUCAAAGGAAUUGACGGGGGCCCGCACAAGCGGAGGAACAUGUGGUUUAAUUCGAUGAUACGCGAGGAACCUUACCCGGGCUUGAAC
RNAcentral lists this ribosomal RNA (484 nucleotides) under uncultured bacterium. RNAcentral's name for it is "bacterial SSU rRNA". It matches the Rfam family "Bacterial small subunit ribosomal RNA", at positions 501 to 986 of the family's 1533-position model. The record is from RNAcentral.